This 82-nucleotide ribosomal RNA is filed under the name Clostridiales bacterium. Lineage: Bacteria; Bacillati; Bacillota; Clostridia; Eubacteriales. The record is from RNAcentral.
CAUUCCGAACACACAGGUAAAGUCCUCCAGCGCUGAUGGUACUGAGGUGGAGACGCCUUGGGAGAGUAAGUCGCUGCCGGGU